RNAcentral lists this ribosomal RNA (443 nucleotides) under uncultured bacterium. RNAcentral's name for it is "partial 16S ribosomal RNA". It matches the Rfam family "Bacterial small subunit ribosomal RNA", at positions 338 to 795 of the family's 1533-position model. The record is from RNAcentral.
CCUACGGGAGGCAGCAGUGGGGAAUAUUGGGCAAUGGGCGCAAGCCUGACCCAGCAACGCCGCGUGAAGGAAGAAGGCUUUCGGGUUGUAAACUUCUUUUAUUGAGGACGAAACAAAUGACGGUACUCAAUGAAUAAGCCACGGCUAACUACGUGCCAGCAGCUGCGGUAAUACGUAGGUGGCAAGCGUUAUCCGGAUUUACUGGGUGUAAAGGGCGUGUAGGGGGGACUGCUAGUCAGAUGUGAAACCGAUGGGCUCAACCCAUGGCCUGUAGUUGAAACUGUAGGUCUUGAGUGAGGGAGAGGCAUGCGGAAUGCGGGGUGUAGCGGUGAAAUGCGUAGAUAUACGGAGGAACACCGGUGGCGAAGGCGGCCUGCUGGAGAUUAACUGACGCUGAGGCGCGAAAGCGUGGGGAGCAAACAGGAUUAGAUACCCUUGUAGUC